This 301-nucleotide ribosomal RNA is filed under the name uncultured bacterium. Its description in RNAcentral is "partial 16S ribosomal RNA". It matches the Rfam family "Bacterial small subunit ribosomal RNA", at positions 509 to 808 of the family's 1533-position model. The record is from RNAcentral.
CAGUAGCCGCGGUAAUACGUAGGUGGCAAGCGUUGUCCGGAAUUAUUGGGCGUAAAGCGCGCGCAGGCGGUUUCUUAAGUCUGAUGUGAAAGCCCCCGGCUUAACCGGGGAGGGUCAUUGGAAACUGGGAGACUUAGAGUGCAGAAGAGGAGGGUGGAAUUCCAUGUGUAGCGGUGAAAUGCGUAGAUAUAUGGAGGAACACCAGUGGCGAAGGCGACUCUCUGGUCUGUAACUGACGCUGAGGCGCGAAAGCGUGGGGAGCAAACAGGAUUAGAUACCCCCGUAGUCCCUGUCUCUUAUA